This 433-nucleotide ribosomal RNA is filed under the name uncultured bacterium. RNAcentral's name for it is "partial 16S ribosomal RNA". It matches the Rfam family "Bacterial small subunit ribosomal RNA", at positions 29 to 507 of the family's 1533-position model. The record is from RNAcentral.
AACGAACGCUGGCGGCAUGCCUAACACAUGCAAGUCGAACGAGACCUUCGGGUCUAGUGGCGCACGGGUGCGUAACGCGUGGGAACCUGCCCUUAGGUUCGGAAUAACUCCCCGAAAGGGGUGCUAAUACCGGAUAAUGUCUUCGGACCAAAGAUUUAUCGCCUUUGGAUGGGCCCGCGUUGGAUUAGCUAGUUGGUAGGGUAAAAGCCUACCAAGGCGACGAUCCAUAGCUGGUCUGAGAGGAUGAUCAGCCACACUGGAACUGAGACACGGCCCAGACUCCUACGGGAGGCAGCAGUAGGGAAUAUUGGACGAUGAGCGAAAGCCUGAUCCAGCAAUGCCGCGUGAGUGAUGAAGGCCUUAGGAUUGUAAAGCUCUUUUACCCGGGAUGAUAAUGACAGUACCGGGAGAAUAAGCUCCGGCUAACUCCGUG